GUCUAUGGCCAUGCUACCCUGAACAAGCCCGAUCCCAUCUGAUCUCGGAAGCUAGGCAGGGUCGAGCCUGGUUAGUACUUGGUUGGGAGACCGCCUAGGAAGACCAGGUGCUGUAGGCA
This 119-nucleotide ribosomal RNA is filed under the name Pteropus alecto (black flying fox). The record is from RNAcentral. Lineage: Eukaryota; Metazoa; Chordata; Mammalia; Chiroptera; Pteropodidae.